This 700-nucleotide ribosomal RNA is filed under the name Streptomyces sp. A6AGD1. RNAcentral's name for it is "bacterial SSU rRNA". It matches the Rfam family "Bacterial small subunit ribosomal RNA", at positions 112 to 826 of the family's 1533-position model. Lineage: Bacteria; Bacillati; Actinomycetota; Actinomycetes; Kitasatosporales; Streptomycetaceae. The record is from RNAcentral.
AACACGUGGGCAAUCUGCCCUUCACUCUGGGACAAGCCCUGGAAACGGGGUCUAAUACCGGAUAACACCUGCCCGGGCAUCUGGGUGGGUUAAAAGCUCCGGCGGUGAAGGAUGAGCCCGCGGCCUAUCAGCUUGUUGGUGAGGUAGUGGCUCACCAAGGCGACGACGGGUAGCCGGCCUGAGAGGGCGACCGGCCACACUGGGACUGAGACACGGCCCAGACUCCUACGGGAGGCAGCAGUGGGGAAUAUUGCACAAUGGGCGAAAGCCUGAUGCAGCGACGCCGCGUGAGGGAUGACGGCCUUCGGGUUGUAAACCUCUUUCAGCAGGGAAGAAGCGAAAGUGACGGUACCUGCAGAAGAAGCGCCGGCUAACUACGUGCCAGCAGCCGCGGUAAUACGUAGGGCGCAAGCGUUGUCCGGAAUUAUUGGGCGUAAAGAGCUCGUAGGCGGCUUGUCACGUCGGGUGUGAAAGCCCGGGGCUUAACCCCGGGUCUGCAUUCGAUACGGGCUAGCUAGAGUGUGGUAGGGGAGAUCGGAAUUCCUGGUGUAGCGGUGAAAUGCGCAGAUAUCAGGAGGAACACCGGUGGCGAAGGCGGAUCUCUGGGCCAUUACUGACGCUGAGGAGCGAAAGCGUGGGGAGCGAACAGGAUUAGAUACCCUGGUAGUCCACGCCGUAAACGGUGGGAACUAGGUGUUGG